Molecule: ribosomal RNA, 700 nt
Filed under: uncultured bacterium
Lineage: Bacteria
Description: bacterial SSU rRNA
Rfam family: Bacterial small subunit ribosomal RNA
Source: RNAcentral
AGAGUUUGAUCAUGGCUCAGAACGAACGCUGGCGGCAGGCCUAACACAUGCAAGUCGAACGCCCCGCAAGGGGAGUGGCAGACGGGUGAGUAACGCGUGGGAACCUUCCCUAUAGUACGGAAUAUACCAGGGAAACUUGGAGCAAUACCGUAUACGCCCGAAAGGGGAAAGAUUUAUCGCUAUAGGAUGGGCCCGCGUAGGAUUAGCUAGUUGGUGAGGUAAUGGCUCACCAAGGCGACGAUCCUUAGCUGGUCUGAGAGGAUGAUCAGCCACACUGGGACUGAGACACGGCCCAGACUCCUACGGGAGGCAGCAGUGGGGAAUAUUGGGCAAUGGGCGAAAGCCUGACCCAGCCAUGCCGCGUGAGUGACGAAGGCCUUAGGGUUGUAAAGCUCUUUUGGCGGGGACGAUAAUGACGGUACCCGCAGAAUAAGCCCCGGCUAACUUCGUGCCAGCAGCCGCGGUAAUACGAAGGGGGCUAGCGUUGUUCGGAAUCACUGGGCGUAAAGCGCACGUAGGCGGACUUUCAAGUCAGGGGUGAAAUCCCGGGGCUCAACCUCGGAACUGCCUUUGAUACUGUUGGUCUCGAGUCCGAUAGAGGUGGGUGGAAUUCCUAGUGUAGAGGUGAAAUUCGUAGAUAUUAGGAAGAACACCGGUGGCGAAGGCGGCCCACUGGAUCGGUACUGACGCUGAGGUGCGA